Molecule: ribosomal RNA, 474 nt
Filed under: uncultured organism
Description: partial 16S ribosomal RNA
Rfam family: Bacterial small subunit ribosomal RNA
Source: RNAcentral
UACACUCCUACGGGAGGCAGCAGUGGGGAAUAUUGCACAAUGGGCGCAAGCCUGAUGCAGCCAUGCCGCGUGUAUGAAGAAGGCCUUCGGGUUGUAAAGUACUUUCAGCGGGGAGGAAGGCGAUAAGGUUAAUAACCUUGUCGAUUGACGUUACCCGCAGAAGAAGCACCGGCUAACUCCGUGCCAGCAGCCGCGGUAAUACGGAGGGUGCAAGCGUUAAUCGGAAUUACUGGGCGUAAAGCGCACGCAGGCGGUCUGUCAAGUCGGAUGUGAAAUCCCCGGGCUCAACCUGGGAACUGCAUUCGAAACUGGCAGGCUAGAGUCUUGUAGAGGGGGGUAGAAUUCCAGGUGUAGCGGUGAAAUGCGUAGAGAUCUGGAGGAAUACCGGUGGCGAAGGCGGCCCCCUGGACAAAGACUGACGCUCAGGUGCGAAAGCGUGGGGAGCAAACAGGAUUAGAUACCCUUGUAGUCCCA